ACUCCUACGGGAGGCAGCAGUGGGGAAUAUUGCACAAUGGACGAAAAGUCUGAUGCAGCAACGCCGCGUGGAGGAUGACACAUUUCGGUGCGUAAACNCCUUUUAUAUAAGGAAGAUGAUUGACGGUACUAUAUGAAUAAGCACCGGCUAACUCCGUGCCAGCAGCCGCGGUAAUACGGAGGGUAGCAAGCGUUACUCGAAUCACUGGGCGUAAAGAGCGUGUGGCGGAUAGAUAAGUCAGGAGUGAAAUCCUAUGGCUC
This 260-nucleotide ribosomal RNA is filed under the name uncultured bacterium. RNAcentral's name for it is "partial 16S ribosomal RNA". It matches the Rfam family "Bacterial small subunit ribosomal RNA", at positions 335 to 610 of the family's 1533-position model. The record is from RNAcentral.